This 460-nucleotide ribosomal RNA is filed under the name uncultured bacterium. RNAcentral describes it as "partial 16S ribosomal RNA". It matches the Rfam family "Bacterial small subunit ribosomal RNA", at positions 338 to 795 of the family's 1533-position model. The record is from RNAcentral.
CCUACGGGAGGCAGCAGUGAGGAAUAUUGGUCAAUGGACGCAAGUCUGAACCAGCCAUGCCGCGUGCAGGAAGACGGCUCUAUGAGUUGUAAACUGCUUUUGUACGAGGGUAAACGCAGAUACGCGUAUCUGUCUGAAAGUAUCGUACGAAUAAGGAUCGGCUAACUCCGUGCCAGCAGCCGCGGUAAUACGGAGGAUUCAAGCGUUAUCCGGAUUUAUUGGGUUUAAAGGGUGCGUAGGAGGUUGGAUAAGUUAGUGGUGAAAGCCCGCGGCUCAACUUUGAAAUUGCCUUUGAUACUGUUAGGCUAGAGAGUAGUUGCGGUAGGCGGAAUGUAUGGUGUAGCGGUGAAAUGCUUAGAGAUCAUACAGAACACCGAUUGCGAAGGCAGCUUACCAAGCUACUUCUGACGUUGAGGCACGAAAGCGUGGGGAGCAAACAGGAUUAGAUACCCCUGUAGUC